Dendronephthya gigantea is the source of this 172-nucleotide long non-coding RNA. RefSeq lists it as uncharacterized. NCBI's taxonomy places the organism in Eukaryota, Metazoa, Cnidaria, Anthozoa, Malacalcyonacea, Nephtheidae. The transcript has 3 exons. The record is from RefSeq and is a predicted model, not a curated record.
UAACUGCGCAGAUGUUGACGAAUGCCAAAUAUCUUCCCCAUGUCAUUCCAAUGCUACGUGCAAUAACACAGAUGGAUCUUAUUUUUGUACAUGUUAUUCUGGUUAUUCUGGGGAUGGAUUUAAUUGCACAGAUAUCAAUGAAUGUGAAACAAAUCCUUGUGAUGCAAAUGCA